Sphaeramia orbicularis (orbiculate cardinalfish) is the source of this 546-nucleotide long non-coding RNA. RefSeq lists it as uncharacterized. The record is from RefSeq and is a predicted model, not a curated record. The transcript has 2 exons. NCBI's taxonomy places the organism in Eukaryota, Metazoa, Chordata, Actinopteri, Kurtiformes, Apogonidae.
GCAGUUAAUUAAAGUUGGCUCUCUGACGGGACAUUACUGUGUUUUGACCCUUAUGUAAAUGUAGGUGUAGUCUUUAGUCUCUGAUAUUUCACUAUCAUUACAGAUAUUUACUAUUAUUCCUUUUCUCACUGAUCUCAUUCAUAGUGCAAAAUGUCAGGUAUGAAAGCUGAAAAGGUGUAGCAGCAGUAACUGGGAGGUGGGACUUAAUGAAAUGGGAGCUGCUGUCUGUCUAGGUGGUCAUGUGACUGACUCCUCUGUGUCCUGCAGUCAUCUGAAUACGAGCCCUGAGACAUGGUAACAACUGUUUUUAAAAACAUAAACUACCAACUGUGGAUGACAGAAUUCCUACGUUUGUGGUGCAGGGGAGGUGCUAACUCAGAUGGGGAGGUGCUAACUCAGAUGGGGAGGUGCUUACUCAGAUGGGGAGGUGCUAACUCAGAUGGGGAGGUGCUUACUCAGAUGGGGAGGAACAUUUCCACCAACACAGUGUAAAAUCUGAAGCACAGGGCAGUUCAGGUGGGUCACUGCCGGUUGUCUUGGGUAUUU